This 1497-nucleotide unclassified non-coding RNA is filed under the name Hevea brasiliensis (rubber tree). The record is from RNAcentral. Lineage: Eukaryota; Viridiplantae; Streptophyta; Magnoliopsida; Malpighiales; Euphorbiaceae.
CAGCAAUGCGGCCUCCUAGCCGGGGCGUAUUAAUUUCUUUUUUCGUUAUUACUCUUUUGUCUUACCAGAUCUCGUAUGUGGUAGGACAAGAAGGUGAUAGCGAUAUCGGAUUAGAUGACAUUAAGGCUAAUGCUAGUAAGUUGAGUUUUGAAAACUCAAGGAUUCGCGAUGCUUAUAUCGCGUUGCAGUAUUGGAAAACAGCAAUGUUUUCUGAUCCUUUUAACUUCACAGCUAAUUGGACAGGUCCAAAUGUGUGUUCCUAUGGUGGAGUGUUUUGUGCUCCUUCGUUAAUGGAUGAUUCGAUUAGAGUUGUAGCUGGCAUUGAUCUUAAUCAUGCUGAUAUUGCUGGUUCAUUAGUUGCAGAACUUGGUCUUCUUACAGAUCUGGUUCUUUUCCAUCUCAACUCGAAUCGUUUUUGUGGAGUUGUACCAAAAACCUUUAGCCAUUUGAAGCUUCUUAGGGAGCUUGAUUUGAGUAAUAAUAGGUUUGUUGGUGGGUUUCCUAAGGUAGUUCUUUCACUACCUUCUUUGAAGUUUUUGGAUCUAAGGUUUAAUGACUUUGAAGGACCAGUUCCUUCAGGACUUUUCGAUAAAGAUUUGGAUGCGUUGUUUUUGAAUGACAAUAGAUUCCGUUUUGGCAUCCCGGAGAACUUGGGUAACUCUCCUGUUUCGGUUCUUGUGUUUGCUAAUAACGAUCUUGGAGGGUGUAUUCCCGCAAGUAUUGGGAAAAUGGGGAAAACGUUGAAUGAGUUGAUAUUGAUGAAUGAUAACCUCACUGGGUGUUUGCCAAUGGAGAUUGGAUUGUUGAACAAGUUAACCGUGUUUGAUGUUAGCUUCAACAAGAUUCAAGGCUCAUUGCCAUCAACUGUGAGCAAAAUGAGGAGUGUGGAGGAACUGAAUGUGGCUCACAACAAGCUUACUGGGGUUAUACCAGCUAGCAUUUGCCAACUUCCUAGGUUGCAAAACUUUACGUAUUCCUUCAAUUACUUCACCGGGGAAGCUCCAGUUUGUGCUGCGACUAGAUCUGGUGACGGCCAGGAGAACUGUAUCGUUGGAAAGAAGAAUCAAAGAUCUGCUAAAGAAUGCUCUUCGGAUGAUGCAAAACCGUAUGAUUGUAGGAAAUCCAAGUGUUAUAGCCCUUUUGCUACAUCUCCUUCGACAAAGCCAAAACCAAAACCAAAGCCAAGAGGCCCACCACCACCUACUUGGAAGUCUUCGGGUUCGCAUAACAAGCGAUCUCCGCCGCCACCUAAAUCAACUCCUCUUCCUCCACCAGCACCUUACAAAAAGUCCCCAACCUAUCAACAUAGAAGUCCACCACCACCUACUCACAAAAUUUCACCUGUAACUCAUCAUUCACCUCCUCCACCCUCACCUGUAUAUUACCACCCAUCUCCAUCGUCCCCACCACCACCAGUUUAUUAUUCUCCACCACCCCCCGUGUAUCAUGAGCCACCACCUACUUACAAGCCUAAAUCACCACCACCACCACCAACAC